UGAGGAAUAUUGGUCAAUGGGCGUAAGCCUGAACCAGCCAAGUCGCGUGAGGGAAGACGGUCCUAUGGAUUGUAAACCUCUUUUGCAGGGAGCAAGACGCGGUACGUGUACCGUGCUGGAGAGUACCCUGAGAAAAAGCAUCGGCUAACUCCGUGCCAGCAGCCGCGGUAAUACGGAGGAUGCGAGCGUUAUCCGGAUUUAUUGGGUUUAAAGGGUGCGUAGGCGGACUGGUAAGUCAGCGGUAAAAAUUGCGGUGCUCAACGCCGUAGUGCCGUUGAAACUGCCGGUCUUGAGUGAGCGAGAAGUAUGCGGAAUGCGUGGUGUAGCGGUGAAAUGCAUAGAUAUCACGCAGAACUCCGAUUGCGAAGGCAGCAUACCGGCGCUCAACUGACGCUGAGGCACGAAAGCGUGGGGGAUCGAACAGGAUUAGAUACC
This 435-nucleotide ribosomal RNA is filed under the name uncultured bacterium. RNAcentral's name for it is "bacterial SSU rRNA". It matches the Rfam family "Bacterial small subunit ribosomal RNA", at positions 355 to 786 of the family's 1533-position model. The record is from RNAcentral.